AUGGCGAGUUCCAAGGUGCCACUGCCACGGCUACAUCGCCUGCUUCUCCCGUUUGCCCUGCUGCUGCUGGUUCUUCUCCUUGCUUCCAGGCAGGCCGAGGGCCGCGCCUCGCCUCCAGCUGCAGCAGCAGCACCACGCCGCGGCACCUCGCUGAGAUCCCAGGCCGGAGCGCUUCUCCACUGGAAAUCAUCAGUCAACUACUCCUCCAAGCAACAUCUGGGGACGUGGAGAGACGACGGCAUGCACCCGUGCAACUGGACCGGCAUCACCUGCGGCGACACUCGGUCACGCCGAGGAACCACGGCGAAGGUCAUCAGAGGAAUCUCCCUCGGCGGUGCCGGCAUUGCAGGGCGGCUGGACGCCCUGAGCUUCCAGUCACUCCCUUACCUCGUCAACCUCGACCUCAGCGACAACUACCAGCUCUCUGGUGCCAUUCCUUCUGCCAUCGGCUUUCUUUCCAUGCUUUCCACCCUCAACUUCUCCGGCGGUCAGCUCGACGGCAGCAUACCUCCGUCCAUCUGCAGCCUUGGGAGGCUCACGCACAUGGACCUCUCCAUCAACAACCUCACCGGCCACAUCCCUCCUGCCUUGGGUAACCUCUCAAGACUUGCUUUCCUUUAUCUACCUGGGAAUAGGCUCUCAGGCAGCAUCCCAUGGCAGCUCGGGCAGCUUGGAAACAUGAGAAAGAUGGAUUUGAGAUGGAAUGUCCUUUCUGGCCACAUACCUUCCUCCUUUGCAAACCUGACAAACCUCAACUAUCUGGACCUUUCCGGUAAUCGUCUGUCAGGACCUAUACCUGAAGAGCUAGGCCAGGUCAAAACCCUGCAAGCACUAUCCUUGGCACAAAACAACCUCAACGCUGCAAUUCCGCCCUCCCUUGGAAACCUCACGAUGCUCAGCUUCCUGAACAUAUAUCAGAACCAGCACACCGGCCCGAUCCCGGUAGAGCUUGGGAUGCUCUCCAGCUUGAUUGAGUUGGAUUUGUCACAGAACCACUUGACCGGCUCAAUUCCUUCUAGUGUUGCUGGAAACCUUACUUCAUUGACCUAUUUUUCUGUUUGGGGUAACAACAUCACUGGACUCAUCCCUCAUGAGUUCGGAAAUCUCGUGAAUCUCGAAGCACUCCUACUCUCGAAAAAUUUCAUAGUUGGAUCAAUACCGUCAAGUAUUGGGAACAUGUCUUCACUCAGCCAAAUAGUAAUAAAUACCAAUAAUAUAUCCGGGGAAUUGCCGACCGAGCUGGGGAAUUUGGCAAAUUUGGAAAUAAUUGAUUCCUAUGAAAACCAGUUAUCCGGCCCAAUCCCUCAAAGUUUUGGGAAAUUGGUGAGUAUGAGAGAAAUGAGACUGUUCAGCAAUCAGCUCACUGGCUCUUUGCCUUCAGCACUCCCCAACCUUACCAGUUUGGUCCUAAUUGAACUGAAUGACAACAAGCUGACCGGACACUUGCCAGAUUUGUGCCAGAGUAAAAAGCUACAGGUUUUCCAAGUUUUUAAUAACAAAUUGGAUGGUCCUGUCCCAAAAGGUUUGAGGGAUUGCAGUUCACUAAUAUCCCUUGGAAUCGGCAACAAUCAGAUGGAGGGAGACAUAACUGAAGCAUUUGGGGUGUAUCCACAUCUCAAAAGCAUUGGUUUAUAUUUAAAUAGGUUUGUAGGGCAACUCUCACCAAAUUGGGGCUCAUGUCAAAACUUGACGAGUAUUUAUUUUGCAAACAACAUGAUAGAAGGUAGUAUACCUUCUGAGCUUGGGGAACUAAAAAAUCUUGGAUGGCUCGACCUCGGUUUCAAUAGGUUGAAUAGUGAGAUACCGGUAGAAAUAGGCAAGUUAAGCAACCUGUAUUGGAUGAACUUAGGACACAAUCGACUAUCUGGCCAAAUCCCUAAGCAAAUUGGCCGACUGGGUAAUCUUGAAGUUCUUGGUUUGUCGAGCAAUCUGUUAAGUGGUGAAGUACCAGAAGAGAUCGGGAAUUGUUUGAAACUGCGGUCAUUAUAUAUGCAUAACAACAGCCUCAGUGGAAGUAUUCCUGGAAGUGUGGGCAAUUUAGUUUCCCUGCAAAGCAUGUUUGAUCUUAGUAUGAAUAGUCUUAGUGGACCAAUACCAUCGGAACUCAGCAAACUAGAGAUGAUGAUCUGUGUGAACUUCUCACGCAAUCAAUUCAGCGGUACCAUCCCUUCCUCGAUUGCAAGCAUGCAAAGCCUAUCAGUUUUUGAUGUAUCCUACAACUUCCUAGAAGGCUCUGUCCCAAAAGGGAUCCACAAUGCAUCAGCUCAAUGGUUUCUUCACAACAAAGGUCUUUGCGGAGAUCUUGUUGGCAUGCCCCCUUGUAAUUUGCCCCCGGUGGAUCAUAGGAAAAGGCAUGAAAAUACUGUACUAUCAGUCGUUCUGCUUAUGUUUGUUGCUACUAUUUCGAUAGCAACGGCUGUAAUUGCCUUUUUGAUUUGCCGCAAGAAAACAUCUCAAAAAACUGAUGACGCAAGCAAAAGGGAUGUAUUCUCUGUAUGGAGCUUUGAUGGCAGAAUGGCAUUUGAGGAUAUUAUCAAUGCAACUGAUAAUUUUGAUGAGAAGAAUUGCAUUGGACAGGGAUCAUAUGGCAGUGUUUAUAAAGCAGAACUUCAAGAUGAACAAAUGGUUGCAGUAAAGAAACUAUAUCCAGGCGAUGAAGACGCGCAUGAUGAAGAAAGAUUCCAGCAUGAGAUUGAAAUGUUAAAAAAAAUUCGCCAACGCAGCAUCGUCAAGCUAUAUGGGUAUUGCUCUCAUCCACGGUACAGGUUCCUUGUAUGCCAGUUUAUAGAGAAAGGAAAUCUUGCUUCUAUCUUAAGCAAUGAAGAACUAGCAAUCCAGUUCAACUGGCAAAGAAGGACAGCUCUCGUAAGAGAUGUUGCUCAAGCCCUCACUUACCUCCAUCAUGAUGUUCAGCCGCCCAUAAUUCAUCGAGACAUCACAAGCAGAAACAUCUUACUAGAUGCUGGUUACAAAGGAUUUGUCUCGGAUUUCGGUAUUGCAAGAAUGUUGAAACCUGAUUCAUCAAACUGGAGUGCACUAGCAGGGACUUAUGGGUACAUAGCACCUGAAUGUUCCUACACUUUCCUAGUUACGGAGAAAUGUGAUGUAUAUAGCUUUGGUGUGGUGGUGCUAGAGGUUCUGAUGGGCAAACAUCCAGGAGACAUACAAGCUUUUCAUUCUUCACUCAAUGACCAAUUUCUUCUGGAAGUAAUUUUGGAUAAACGACUUCCACGACCCGAAACCGAGGCGAACGACGUGAAGCAGUGCAUCUCUGUGGCAUUUGAGUGCCUAACUCCUUCACCCAAAGAAAGGCCAACUAUGCAAAAAGUUCAUCGAGAUCUUUCCAUCUGA
Molecule: ribosomal RNA, 3351 nt
Filed under: Triticum aestivum (bread wheat)
Lineage: Eukaryota; Viridiplantae; Streptophyta; Magnoliopsida; Poales; Poaceae
Description: partial small subunit ribosomal RNA
Source: RNAcentral